UAUAUGAUAGGUAUUAGAUAUAAUACAUAUAAUAAAUAUACCUACUCUAUUCGUUUAUUAGAUAUUAGACAUAGCAGAUUUAUCUAAUUUAUAUUUAUAAUAUAUAUAUUUAUAUAAUAUAUAUGAAAUAUUACAGAUAUAGCUAAUAGAUAUAUAUAUUAGAAGCCUGGCGUAUAUAUUGGAUAUAUUAUAUAUAUUGGAUAUAUUAUAUAUAUCGGAUAUAUUAUAUAUAUCGGAUAUAAUUUCUAUUAUACGCCUGCUACACUAAAUAUUUAUAUAAAAUCUAAUAAUUCUACCUAUAUAUUUCAUCUAAUAAUUAAAUCUAAUAAUUCUACCCAUUAUCUCCCUAUAUUUAAUAUAUUACAUGCUAUAUUAUACAUAGAAUAUACGUUAAACGAGGUGGAGUGGUGUAUAAAUGCAUUAAAGCACGUAGCGAGGCUUAGAAAUUAUCAACAUCUUUUGAGCCAAAUUCCUCAAUUUUCAGACAGGAUUUGCCUCCUCUUUGUUUUUCUUUUUUUUUUCGCGUAUUUAACAUGCAAAAAUGGUGAAAAACCCCCGCUUCCCCUUUUUUUGCUGUUUUCGAAACCAGAACUGAGCUAUUUCAGGCAAUUCUAACCUCAAAAUAAAGCCAGCUGAAAAACAAGCACAGCUGCAACUUCCGGCCACCAAACUGGGCUGAAAUCAGCCAUUUUAGGUGGAAAAGAGGAAAAAAAAAGUGACUUUUAAUUUAAUUUCUUUAUAUUUUUAAAGCUUUGGGCCAUAUUGUUGGAAGUUUGUGGUGAAAAAAAAAACAACUUUUUAAUAAUAUUUUUUAUCACCAACUCCAGGCAAAUAAUUAAACUCUUGGAGUCGAUUUUAGGCUAAAAUAAAUUAAAAUUAUUUUAAAUGAUAAUAAUUAUAAUAAUAUUAUUAUAUAUCAUUAUUAUACACUAUAUAUAACACAUAUAUAAUAAAUACUAUUNNNNNNNNNNAUAAUUAAACUCUUGGAGUCGAUUUUAGGCUAAAAUAAAUUAAAAUUAUUUUAAAUGAUAAUAAUUAUAAUAAUAUUAUUAUAUAUCAUUAUUAUACACUAUAUAUAACACAUAUAUAAUAAAUACUAUAUAUUAUAUAUAUUAUAUUAUAUUAUAUAUAUUAUAUAUGUGUUAUAUAUGUUAUAUAUUUUGUUAUAUUAUUUUAUAACAUAUUAUAUUAUUAUAUAUAUUGUUAAUAUUAUUAUAAUUACCAAUUUAAAAUAAUUUUAAGCAAUAAACUGAACCUGGAACCUCAAAUUCCCCCCUUUUUUGACCUAAAAACCUUAAACAUCACAAAUUAUUGCCCCCCUUUUUUUUUUUUUUCUGCUAUAAUUGGGUGUUUGCUUUUUUGGGGGGAAAGCAGAUUAUUGCGUGAAUUUAGCUAAAAUUGUUGUAUCUGCAGCCGGAGAGGUAAAAUGUCUAAUUAUCUUUUUAUGGCUUAAUUAAGAAAUGCAAUAAAAUGGGUUCCCCCUCUAAAAAUGUUCAUCUCUGCUCUUAAAAAACCCAAUUCCUGGCUCUUUUCAACCAAUUUUUCCUCCCUCAUAAAGAACGACUAAGACUAUAAUGAGAAAUUGCCUAAAAAUCACUAUUUUGCCAUAAAUACCAGAAAAAUCACUAUUUGAGCACAAAAUGCCUCAUUCCAAGCCUGCCUACUGCGUAAAACCAUUAGAAAUUGUCGUGCCAGAAACCCUAAUUUUUGGAUAUUAAAUUAAAAAUGAGACUUGUGGGGAGGUUUUGAGGAGUUAUGGGCGAAUAAAGGCAAAAAUAUGCCAAAAAUUGACAAUAAUGGGUGAAAAAUCAACGCUUAAGCCUCAUUUAAAAUUUAACGGUAUCAAAAUUUAUCAUUAAAUAGCCAAAUUUGGAAGGGAAGAAAAAAAUAAGUAACAGUCUCAAUCCACUCCUGCUUUUUGUCUCAAUUAAUAAAGUCCCAACUAAUUAAUUAAUUAAAAAUAAGGAUUAUAAUGCAAUAUUUUUUGGGUGGGUCUUUGCCCUAAGUAAGUCAAACUCCUCUAAAACUGCCCCAAAAAUGUCCUAUUAAACCUUUUCUGGGUAAAAAAGGGAUUAGAUUUCGACUUUGGUGAAAUUUUAACAACUCUAAAAACUCCUAAAACUGCCUCAAAAGCGAUUAUCGAUAAAAUUAAGAUAUUUUUAGCCACCAAGACCCCCUGAAAUUCACCCAAGAGCCCCCAAAAUGCCUAAUUUCAGAAAAAAUCCACGAAAAAAGCCAAAUUCCAGGAGAUUUGCGGGGACCUAGACUUAGGGACAUCAGCCUGGCAAAUUUAACUCAAACCACCCCAAAACCAGCCCAAAUUAAAAGGAAGACAUUACCUGAAAUGUCAUCCUUCAGCCUCAAUCUUCACCCACUAUUUUGGGUCAAUUCACAAUGAUUUUUUCAAUUAACUAACCUCACUGGCCAUUUUUGUUAAAAACAGGGACUUUUCUGUCCUUUUGCCCAAAAAGCUCUCAAAAAGCCUCAAAUAGGGCUCGACCUGAAGACUCAAUAAUCAAACUGUCCUAUUAAAUAGAAAUCUCUAUUUUUUUUUUCUUAGAAACUCAAACUUUGGGACUAAGUCACCAAGAAAACUAACUCCCUAGAGACGCCCCCAACUGCGAAAUCUAAAAAAAACCUGAAAAACUGCAAAAUUCAAAGUCCUCUGUCUUCCCCUGUUCAGCCUUAUCUGCCAAAUAUAUUUUCUGACAUAAUUUUGCCUGAAAAGUCCUUUUUUUCUCCAUAUUUUGCCCAAACAAAGCAAUUUCUCCCCCAGAAAAAAAAUUAUAUAUUUAUAAAUCUAAAAAUCUAUAUAUUAUAUAUUAUAUAUAAACAUAUAGAAAUAUCUAUUAAAUAUAUAUUAUAUAUAAAAAAAUAUAAAAUAUAUAAAAUAUAUAAACUGGGGAGAGAAAAAAAUCGACAUUUCCACUCUACACAAACCCUCUACUAAACUCAACUCAACAAAAAUGCCAAAUUAAGCCCCAAAACCUUCCCUCGGGUCCCUUUUGCCCUCACACGUCCUAUUUUCCCCUCCCCCCCCCAAAAAAAAAAAUAUCUAAAAAUAGACAUUUUAGGGCUGACAAAGAGUUUUUGACCUAAUCCUGCCGGCAAAUCACCUCCGCAUGAUUUUUUUUCCAAAAGACCCCCAAAUUGAGUUUUUGACCCAAUCCUGACAUCAAACUGCCUUCAGUUAACAUUUUUCCCCUAAAAACACCCUAAAAUCAUAUUUUUGACAUGGUCCUGCCAUCAAGUCACCUCCUCAUGAUUUUCUGCCCCAAAAAAGACCUGAAAAUUGACUUUUUGACCCAAUCCUGACAUCAAACUGCCUUCAGUUAACAUUUUUCCCCCUAAAAACCCCC
This 3359-nucleotide long non-coding RNA is filed under the name Anas zonorhyncha (Eastern spot-billed duck). Its description in RNAcentral is "lncRNA (ENSAZOG00000008071.1)". Lineage: Eukaryota; Metazoa; Chordata; Aves; Anseriformes; Anatidae. The record is from RNAcentral.